Molecule: ribosomal RNA, 500 nt
Filed under: uncultured bacterium
Lineage: Bacteria
Description: bacterial SSU rRNA
Rfam family: Bacterial small subunit ribosomal RNA
Source: RNAcentral
AUUGAACGCUGGCGGCAGGCUUAACACAUGCAAGUCGGGCGCGAAAGGUCUUCGGACUGAGUAGAGCGACGGACGGGUGAGUAACGCGUGGGAAAUUGCCCAGUAGUGGGGGACAACAACCGGAAACGGUUGCUAAUACCGCAUACGCCCUACGGGGGAAAGCGGGGGAUCUUCGGACCUCGUGCUAUUGGAUAUGCCCGCGUCGGAUUAGCUAGUUGGUAGGGUAAAGGCCUACCAAGGCGACGAUCCGUAGCUGGUCUGAGAGGAUGAUCAGCCACACUGGGACUGAGACACGGCCCAGACUCCUACGGGAGGCAGCAGUGGGGAAUAUUGGACAAUGGGGGCAACCCUGAUCCAGCCAUGCCGCGUGUGUGAAGAAGGCCUUCGGGUUGUAAAGCACUUUCAGUAGGGAGGAAGGCCUGUAGAUUAAUACUCUGCAGGAUUGACGUUACCUACAGAAGAAGCACCGGCUAACUCCGUGCCAGCAGCCGCCGUAACAC